UGACCAUGCUGUUUGGCCACACUCUGCUCCU
This 31-nucleotide non-coding RNA is filed under the name Mus musculus (house mouse). The record is from RNAcentral. Lineage: Eukaryota; Metazoa; Chordata; Mammalia; Rodentia; Muridae.